CACUGGAGCACAGCAUGGGUGGGGAAAACGUUUGCAUGUGAUUUCUGUUUAAAAAUAUAUCUAUUUAUGUAUUCAUUUAAUUUAAAUGAAGCUAUCAAAGCUACCUUUUUAUACUGCAUUAUAUAUGUGGUUCUCAAAUCUUUUACAAGUACUUCCAAAAAAAACUGAGCAAUCCAGGUACUAACAUUACCUUGCUUAGAUAGUCAAAAUUCAGACAAAGAUUAUUUUUCUAGAAAGUGUUUUUAAUAUUAUUGUCAGUGGCCAUAACAUUGAUCUACCAAAUGGGCACCCCUGCACUAGAAUAUUGGAAAAUGUACAUAGUUAAAUGAUUCAAUUAAAAUAUAUUGCACAAAAGUAAAUAAUUGUGACAAAAGGUCCAUCUGUACCGGUAUUAAAAGUUAAAUACAACUGAACUGUAAUCAACAAUUCUACUGGAUUAAAAAAAGUUUUUAGCCACUAUAAAUGCAUAGUCUGAACAUUCAAUUUGCCUAUUACAAGAGGGAACCUGCACCACAUCACUCACAAUUUUAGUGACAAAAAACGCUUUGUUCCUUAUUUUCCUUUUUUUUCUUUGUUAGUUAACAUAAGCCAAUUCCUUAAUUUUUUAUAUGUUCAUUGUGACCUUAAAACUCAUUUUAAAAUGGGAUUCUCUAUAUAAGGAGUGAACAUAUAUUAAAUGUAGUUGUAUUAACGUCUUGAAUCCACAAGGGGGCGAUGUAAACGUUUUCAUAGGCCAAUGCUGAAGAAAUUAGGUUUUGCUACUCUGUGGAGUAGUCAUUGUACAGCUUGUGUAGCACAGUACAUUCACUGUCCCAUAGAUAUAACUCGGCACACAGCCACACUGCAGGCAGCAAAACUGAGUACACUCCAAACUGAAAACAUCCAACUUGCACCCAAUUAGCUAUGUGCCUUAUCCCUACCUACCGGUAUAUGUGACUCAUUUGUGUUACAAGGUCUCAGGUGUGAAUGAGAAAUAGAUGUGUUACGUUAAUCACAAGGACACAAGGGGACAAUGGCGGCCCCCAGGAACGGGAAUACUACAUCCGGUUCCAUGUACGUACUAUUAUUAUUAGCUGCCAGCAGCUGGGAAUGCAUGGCAGAUCUGCAGCAGAAGCUUUAGAUAAAACGUCUAAAGAUAGACUUUGGCUAUCAGCAUCAGGCUAGCCACUUGACUUUUAUGUGCACAACUCGUCCAUGGAAAGCCAUUUCAGCAUUUAUUCCGUAUCCUUCAUAUCCAUCUUAAUACUCUUUUGUAAAGACUCUAGU
Molecule: long non-coding RNA, 1266 nt
Organism: Hippocampus zosterae (dwarf seahorse)
Lineage: Eukaryota; Metazoa; Chordata; Actinopteri; Syngnathiformes; Syngnathidae
Exons: 2
Source: RefSeq, a predicted model, not a curated record